GACGAACGCUGGCGGCGUGCUUAACACAUGCAAGUCGAACGGAAAGGCCCUGCUUUUGUGGGGUGCUCGAGUGGCGAACGGGUGAGUAACACGUGAGUAACCUGCCCUUGACUUUGGGAUAACUUCAGGGAACUGGGGCUAAUACCGGAUAGGAGCUCCUGCUGCAUGGUGGGGGUUGGAAAGUUUCGGCGGUUGGGGAUGGACUCGCGGCUUAUCAGCUUGUUGGUGGGGUAGUGGCUUACCAAGGCUUUGACGGGUAGCCGGCCUGAGAGGGUGACCGGCCACAUUGGGACUGAGAUACGGCCCAGACUCCUACGGGAGGCAGCAGUGGGGAAUAUUGCACAAUGGGCGGAAGCCUGAUGCAGCAACGCCGCGUGCGGGAUGACGGCCUUCGGGUUGUAAACCGCUUUCGCCUGUGACGAAGCGUGAGUGACGGUAAUGGGUAAAGAAGCACCGGCUAACUACGUGCCAGCAGCCGCGGUGAUACGUAGGGUGCGAGCGUUGUCCGGAUUUAUUGGGCGUAAAGGGCUCGUAGGUGGUUGAUCGCGUCGGAAGUGUAAUCUUGGGGCUUAACCCUGAGCGUGCUUUCGAUACGGGUUGACUUGAGGAAGGUAGGGGAGAAUGGAAUUCCUGGUGGAGCGGUGGAAUGCGCAGAUAUCAGGAGGAACACCAGUGGCGAAGGCGGCUCUCUGGGCCUUUCCUGACGCUGAGGAGCGAAAGCGUGGGGAGCGAACAGGCUUAGAUACCCUGGUAGUCCACGCUGUAAACGGUGGGUACUAGGUGUGGGGUCCAUUCCACGGGUUCCGUGCCGUAGCUAACGCUUUAAGUACCCCGCCUGGGGAGUACGGCCGCAAGGCUAAAACUCAAAGGAAUUGACGGGGCCCCGCACAAGCGGCGGAGCAUGCGGAUUAAUUCGAUGCAACGCGUAGAACCUUACCUGGGUUUGACAUGGAUCGGGAGCGCUCAGAGAUGGGUGUGCCUCUUUUGGGGUCGGUUCACAGGUGGUGCAUGGCUGUCGUCAGCUCGUGUCGUGAGAUGUUGGGUUAAGUCCCGCAACGAGCGCAACCCUUGUUCACUGUUGCCAGCACGUUAUGGUGGGGACUCAGUGGAGACCGCCGGGGUCAACUCGGAGGAAGGUGGGGAUGACGUCAAGUCAUCAUGCCCCUUAUGUCCAGGGCUUCACGCAUGCUACAAUGGCUGGUACAGAGAGUGGCGAGCCUGUGAGGGUGAGCGAAUCUCGGAAAGCCGGUCUCAGUUCGGAUUGGGGUCUGCAACUCGACCUCAUGAAGUCGGAGUCGCUAGUAAUCGCAGAUCAGCAACGCUGCGGUGAAUACGUUCCCGGGGCU
Molecule: ribosomal RNA, 1346 nt
Filed under: uncultured bacterium
Lineage: Bacteria
Description: bacterial SSU rRNA
Rfam family: Bacterial small subunit ribosomal RNA
Source: RNAcentral